UACGUAGGGCGCGAGCGUUGUCCGGAAUUAUUGGGCGUAAAGAGCUCGUAGGUGGCUUGUUGCGUCUGCCGUGAAAGCCCGUGGCUUAACUACGGGUCUGCGGUGGAUACGGGCAGGCUAGAGGCUGGUAGGGGCAAGCGGAAUUCCUGGUGUAGCGGUGAAAUGCGUAGAUACUGGGAGGAACACCAGUGGCGAAGGCGGCUACCUGGACCGGUUCUGACGCUGAGGCGCGAAAGCGUGGGUAGCAAACAGG
RNAcentral lists this ribosomal RNA (253 nucleotides) under uncultured bacterium. RNAcentral describes it as "partial 16S ribosomal RNA". It matches the Rfam family "Bacterial small subunit ribosomal RNA", at positions 524 to 776 of the family's 1533-position model. The record is from RNAcentral.